GAAAUGCGAUAAGUAAUGUGAAUUGCAGAAUUCAGUGAAUCAUCGAAUCUUUGAACGCACAUUGCGCCCGCCAGUAUUCUGGCGGGCAUGCCUGUCCGAGCGUCAUUUCAACCCUCGAACCCCUCCGGGGGUACGGCGUUGGGGAUCGGCCCUUUACGGGGCCGGCCCCGAAAUACAGUGGCGGUCUCGCCGCAGCCUCUCCUGCGCAGUAGUUUGCACACUCGCAUCGGGAGCGCGGCGCGUCCACGUCCGUAAAACACCCAACUUCUGAAAUGUUGACCUCGGAUCAGGUAGGAAUACCCGCUGAACUUAA
Molecule: unclassified non-coding RNA, 313 nt
Filed under: uncultured Trichoderma
Lineage: Eukaryota; Fungi; Ascomycota; Sordariomycetes; Hypocreales; Hypocreaceae
Description: sequence contains ITS1
Rfam family: 5.8S ribosomal RNA (bases 1-105)
Source: RNAcentral